This 227-nucleotide unclassified non-coding RNA is filed under the name Hevea brasiliensis (rubber tree). The record is from RNAcentral. Lineage: Eukaryota; Viridiplantae; Streptophyta; Magnoliopsida; Malpighiales; Euphorbiaceae.
GAGGUAAUGUUAAACCGGGGGAGUUAAUUCAAAGAAUAUGACACAACGUUUAAGCAAGAAAGACAAAUUAAACCAAGCAGUGAAAUAUGAGAGCUUGUGAGUGUCAAUGGACUAACAUGUCGAAGAAAUUCUUACAGGUCCACAUAAGUUGGACUAACGCCCAAAAUACACGGAACCACCUGUAUUAUCAAAAAAAAAAACAAAUAUCAUUUUCUUGAAACAUUUGC